UGGGGAAUAUUGGACAAUGGGGGGAACCCUGAUCCAGCCAUGCCGCGUGUGUGAAGAAGGCCUUAUGGUUGUAAAGCACUUUAAGCGAGGAGGAGGGUACUGGUAUUAAUACUACCAGCUACUGGACGUUACUCGCAGAAUAAGCACCGGCUAACUCUGUGCCAGCAGCCGCGGUAAUACAGAGGGUGCGAGCGUUAAUCGGAUUUACUGGGCGUAAAGCGUGCGUAGGCGGCUAAUUGAGUCGGAUGUGAAAUCCCCGUGCUUAACUUGGGAAUUGCAUUCGAUACUGGUUAGCUAGAGUGUGGGAGAGGAUGGUAGAAUUCCAGGUGUAGCGGUGAAAUGCGUAGAGAUAUGGAGGAAUACCGAUGGCGAAGGCAGCCAUCUGGCCUAACACUGACGCUGAGGUACGAAAGCAUGGGGAGCAAACAGG
RNAcentral lists this ribosomal RNA (430 nucleotides) under Pseudomonadota bacterium. Its description in RNAcentral is "Proteobacteria bacterium partial 16S ribosomal RNA". It matches the Rfam family "Bacterial small subunit ribosomal RNA", at positions 355 to 776 of the family's 1533-position model. Lineage: Bacteria; Pseudomonadati; Pseudomonadota. The record is from RNAcentral.